UGCACUUAAUAUGACUCCAUCAGUAUGGGGCAAGCCCAGAAGGAAGAGGGCAACUCUGAAGUUUAUGGUCUACACUGGGAUAAGAUUGAGCUCCAGUUGUUCUCAAUGUUGUACCCAAAGAAGAUAUUGUCAUGGAAACAGCAAACCUGAAAUAAAAUCCAUCUACCAACUAAUGAGCAUGUGAUUUGGAGCAAGUCACUCUAGCCUUCUGAACAUCCACUUCCUUACAUAAUGGCUAUAGUGUUAAAUGGAUAAAAUGAAAACUACCUCCAAGAAGAUGGUAUAAAAGGGCCUUCGAGGGAAAGAACUGGGAAAAGACAGUCAUGCCUUUCUGUGAUGCAGUUUUCCAGGUAAAUAAUGAAGGUACAAGCAGACCAAGAGAGCUCGCCAAGUUGAAAGAGUACUGAAUCAAUAAGUCUACCCUUCACUCAAGGGGAGAGGAUGACAAUGACACAAAAGCAAGAAUGCCAGGAUUCAGGGAUCACUUGGAGCCAUGUUGGAUGUUGCCUACCCCAGAAGUGGUGAUAAUGAGUUUUCCUUGCCUCUAUCCUAAGAUUAUCACUACUUUCAAUAUUUCACCAUUAAGUAUGCUCGUUUAUAUAUAUUUUUUAUCCUUUCUUUAGAUUGAGAAAGUUCUCUUCUCAGAAUCGCUAAAAAGUUGUUUUUUUAUUCAUGAAUAUGUAUUGGAUUUUAUCAAUGCUUUCUCUGCAUCUACUGAGAUAAUUAUAUAAUUUUCUCCUUUGUCUUCUUAAUGUGAGAGUUUGAAUUGAUUUUUUAAAUGUUAAUUAGCCAUGCUUUUCUGAUAUGAACCCAACAUGGUUGUGAUACUAUAUAUUUUAU
Long non-coding RNA from Canis lupus familiaris (dog), 840 nucleotides. RefSeq lists it as uncharacterized. The transcript is spliced from 5 exons. The record is from RefSeq and is a predicted model, not a curated record. Lineage: Eukaryota; Metazoa; Chordata; Mammalia; Carnivora; Canidae.